ACCAGAAGGCUGGCCCGACGAUGCUUCUUUCAGGGCUCGAACCACGGAAAACAGCUGGGCUGACUUGUGAGGUCUGUCCACAGGGACGCAGAGGCCAGCCCGACCCAGACACUCGUAUACAGAUGGGUUUUGAAGAAGGAACUGGGACAAACUUGCAGGCAGGAAGCCAAGGCAAGACUGCUUCUCUGGGAGCAAGAAGUUACCCAGCAGAGUUGGCGGAAUCCACAAGAGGGCUGAGGCCGUUCUUUUAACCCUGAACACGUGCACAGAUGCAGGUUUUUCCCUUGACCUGGCACCUGGCACCCCAGCCUGGCACGCACAGACGCUUCCUUCUCCUUCCUACAGACGCUCUCCCCGCGGUCAGGCCAGCACUGAGGUCCACGGGCACCCCCACACCCAGCAAGCCCUCCUCCUGCUCAGCGCCGGGUCCCAGCCCUGCCGGCCGACACCGCUCCAGCUGCCCCUGGCAGCCGCACCGGACGGCAAUUCCCAGCAGAGCCCUGCUGCUGGCCACCACUCAUUGUUCCCUGUUUAACGGGGGCUUUCUGUCCCUUCCGCUGACAAAGACAGGAAGCUCUGGGAGCUGGGCAAUCAAGAUAACCCGUGAAACAUGCUACAGCUCUGAUCCGCGGAGGCCGCUGCGGCCCAGGAGGGAACACGUCGCCGGACAGAGUCGAACUGCUCACUCUCGAAAAAGAGCUUUGUGAAUGCUUAACUUUUUUAAAAUAAAGGAUACAUCACCGCUGACCAAUCAUGACAAAAUCUAGA
Molecule: long non-coding RNA, 768 nt
Organism: Callorhinus ursinus (northern fur seal)
Lineage: Eukaryota; Metazoa; Chordata; Mammalia; Carnivora; Otariidae
Source: RefSeq, a predicted model, not a curated record